RNAcentral lists this RNase P RNA (364 nucleotides) under Candidatus Magnetominusculus dajiuhuensis. RNAcentral describes it as "RNase P RNA component class A". It matches the Rfam family "Bacterial RNase P class A". Rfam says of the family: Ribonuclease P (RNase P) is a ubiquitous endoribonuclease, found in archaea, bacteria and eukarya as well as chloroplasts and mitochondria. Its best characterised activity is the generation of mature 5'-ends of tRNAs by cleaving the 5'-leader elements of precursor-tRNAs. Cellular RNase Ps are ribonucleoproteins. The record is from RNAcentral. Lineage: Bacteria; Pseudomonadati; Nitrospirota; Nitrospiria; Nitrospirales; Nitrospiraceae.
CGAGCAGGCUAGAUGAUCGUCUCUAUAUUUAUAUAGAGGAGGAAAGUCCGAGCUCCAUAGGGCAUGGACGGCUGUUAACGGCAGCCGGGGGCGACCCCAGGGAAAGUGCCACAGAAAAUAAACCGCCUAUGAAUUUAGGUAAGGGUGAAACGGUGAGGUAAAAGCUCACCUGCCGCUAUGGUGACAUAGAGGUUAGGUAAACCCCGUCCGGAGCAAGACCUAAUAGGUUUCAUCUUUUAGUCUGCCCAACUAUUCCGCUAAUCACGGAGGAUGAAACGGGUACGGUCGCUAAAGAAUGUGAGCAAUCUCAUUCAUAGAUGAAUGGUCAUCUAAUACAGAACUCGGCUUAUAGCCUGCUCGAAAU